This 76-nucleotide transfer RNA is filed under the name Plectranthias kelloggi (eastern flower porgy). RNAcentral describes it as "tRNA-Val". Lineage: Eukaryota; Metazoa; Chordata; Actinopteri; Perciformes; Anthiadidae. The record is from RNAcentral.
CAAACCGGGUUGCCCUGAUGCCGACCAGCUAGCCCUCAUAACUAACACCAACAAACAACUAUUUAUACCCCCUAAU